This 227-nucleotide long non-coding RNA is filed under the name Setaria italica (foxtail millet). RNAcentral describes it as "long non-coding RNA (SITA_LNC000190)". Lineage: Eukaryota; Viridiplantae; Streptophyta; Magnoliopsida; Poales; Poaceae. The record is from RNAcentral.
AAGGCUUGGAUCCUGAUCAGAUUCAGUUGAAACAAAAAUUAACAGGAGAGUUAAUUGAACCAACAUGCAACAGUUACCUCUUCAGAUUCUGAAAUGAGGUCGCGACUUCCGAGCAAUCAUGCUGAUGGUUGAGGAUGCACUGCUCUGCUUCCUAAGUGGAGGAGGGGGUGGAAAGAGACAUGGGAUAAUGGGAGGACCGGGCCCAGAGAGGCGAGCUUGAGAUGUAG